RNAcentral lists this ribosomal RNA (253 nucleotides) under uncultured bacterium. RNAcentral describes it as "partial 16S ribosomal RNA". It matches the Rfam family "Bacterial small subunit ribosomal RNA", at positions 524 to 776 of the family's 1533-position model. The record is from RNAcentral.
UACGUAGGGAGCAAGCGUUGUCCGGAAUCAUUGGGCGUAAAGCGCGCGUAGGUGGCCCCGUAAGUCCGCUGUGAAAGUCAAAGGCUCAACCUUUGAAAGCCGGUGGAUACUGUGGGGCUAGAGUACGGAAGAGGCGAGUGGAAUUCCUGGUGUAGCGGUGAAAUGCGCAGAUAUCUGGAGGAACACCGGUGGCGAAGGCGGCUCCCUGGGCCGAUACUGACGCUGAGGCGCGAAAGCCUGGGGAGCAAACAGG